Molecule: long non-coding RNA, 4226 nt
Organism: Anthonomus grandis grandis
Lineage: Eukaryota; Metazoa; Arthropoda; Insecta; Coleoptera; Curculionidae
Exons: 3
Source: RefSeq, a predicted model, not a curated record
UGCAUUAAAACGAGAGGGAACUACUUACUAACAUACUUCGAUUUUUCAUCCUUCGUAGUUUGACACUUGACCUUUGUAGUUAGACUGACCAUAAAUGACUACUAUUAAAGCAUGUUUUUCUUAUACUAACGGGGAAACUUCGAAGUCCUAUAUCAUGUAGACAUGUAUGUUUUCUGAACAAAUGGUACUAGUCAAAUUUUUUAUUACGGUCCUGUCGUUCCGCCUAUAAUCAAAGAGUUGCGGCGUCUUUAUGAUAUGAUAGGACUCUGCAAGGGUCCUGUCAUUUAUAUAGUCCUAUAACUAUUAUUAGUAUACAGGGUGUUCAUUUGAAAACCACUGUUUAAAAAAAAAACGCCGAAAUACGUCAAAAGGUUUGUCAAGGGGGACAACUUUUUUAUUUUUUCAUAAUUUUAUGACCUUGUAGUGUAUGACAUUUAGAACAUAAUGUUCCUAGGAGCUUUUUUGCUUCAUUUCGUCCAAGAAACACGCCUCAGAAUUUUGUUGCAAUAUUAAAAAACACCCUGUAUACUAUAUAAGUCAUUCGUUGUACAUGCUGAAGGGUACAUGAAUAAGUCCAGUAAAAAUGUAAUUUUGUGUCUAUUGAUAAUGUACUGAGAAUAUUCGAAUUUUAUAAACACUAUGAAAAAAUUCAAAUGCCUGGAAAGAAUAAAUAAUUUCUGGAAUACAUGUAAAACUUACCUAAUCUAAGUUGCAAUGAAAAUUACUUUGAGUGUAAUAACUUUUUGUAAAACCACUUCAAAUUUAAUGAGAAAUGACUUCAAUGAAUGUCUGCAAGUCAUUUCUCUUUAGUCUAAGUCAUUUAGGAAAUAACUUUAAGAACCCAAUGCUUGUACCACAAAAAUCCAGGAAAAAAUUUGAAUGUAAGGAAUGGAACUGAAAAUGAUUCCAAAUGUUUGGAACAUUUAAGAAAUCGCUUUAGUAAAAGUCCAAAGAAAUAAGAGGUGGUUCAGAAAUGCCUGGAAUGAACCUGAAAAUUAAUACAGAAGUUAACAAAACCCAUAAAAGCCGAUUUCUGUUAAAAUUUCCUUCUGAUUUUUGUAAAGUCAUCAAGGUACAGAAGCACUUCCAGGAGAAAUACCGAGUUUAACAAGGAUAACACUCACCUAUGUAUCUGCUGUAAAAAACAGGAUUAAAGAGUUAUCCAGAGAUUGGUGUGUUCACCUGUAUCUUAUUCUAGAUCUCAACAGUUAAAUUUUUUGCUGAUCAUAGUAAACUAUAUACAAAUCCUCUUACUUAUGCAGAACAGGUAAAAAUGGAUCGUCAGAAGACAGUAGAAGCACGUUUAGAGAUAUGGGGAAUGAGUCCAAAUUUAUAGUACUUACAAUCAGAACAAACAACCCAAGCAGAAAAUCCAGGAUAAAUAGUAUAACCGUGGCAGCUGUCUCUGAUCUAGGAGGGACACAUACAGCUGAUUUGGCAUGGGACAAUCAUAUUGUUAAAAUUGCAAAAAAAAGCCAAGUCUUUUAUUCACCUCAUAAAACAAGCACUUAAAGGCCGCUCAAAGAAAAUGACAAGACCAAAUCAGUAAGUAAUUCAUAUUAUAUCAAAGAUAGAGAAACAUUAGAAAGGGUACAAAGAAGGGUAACAACAAUCUAAAAAUUAAAAGACCUUCCUUACCCUGCAGAGAUUGCAGCUAUCAAAUUGCAAAGAGAGAAUACUUAUCAGAGCAAAAUCUUGAACGGACAUUAUAAUUGUCAAAUUUCAAAUGUCCUGCAUCAGAAUCAAUGAAUUAAAAACCAUGAAACAAACUGCAUUGGGUUCAAAAAAGCAUGCUCAAAAAAUGUUAUUAAGAUUUCAAAACAGUACAAGCAUUGGUUAUGGUAUUAUCGAGAUUUUUUUAUAGGUGUGUCCAAUGUGCAAGUUUAAUGUUCAAAGUGACCACCCACUUCAAGAUCCAAAAUCUUACAAAGUAGUGGGAAUAUUUUCAUAAAACAAACAGCAUUGGGUUUAGAAAAGGAUUCUCAAAAAAAUAGUAGUUAGGUUUCAAAGUAGUGCAAGCACUGGUUCUGGUAUUAUCGCGCUUUUUGGGCAGGUGUGUCCAACAUGCAGGUUUGAUUUUAAGGCGACCACUCACUUCAAGGUCCAAAAGCACAAAAACUAGUGGGAGUCUUUUGAUUAAAUAAACAACAAAGGAUUCAGAGAAGCAUGCUCAAAAAAUGUUAUUAAUAGUUCGAAGCAGUCCAAGCAUUAGUUUUGAAAUUAUUAAGCUUCUUGUGUAGGUACGUCCAACGUGCAUGUUUGAUGUUCAAAGUGACCACCCAAUUCAAGAACCAAAAUCUGAAAAAGUAGUGGGAAUAUUUUCAUAAAACACACAGCAUUGGGUUCAGAUAAGCAUGCUCAAAAAACGUUAUUAAGGUCUUAAAGCAGUACAAGCAUUGGUUUAGGUAUUAUCGAGCUUUCUGGACAGGUGUGUCCAAUGUGCAGUUUUGAUCUUCAUUGUGACCACCCACUUCAAGAUCCAAAAUCUUAAAAAGUAGUGGGAAUAUUUUCAUAAAACAAACAGCAUUGGGUUUAGAAAAGCAUUCUUAAAACUAUAAUAUUCAGGUUUUAAAGUAGUGCAAGCACUAGUUCUGGUGUUAUCGCGCUUUUUGGGCAGGUGUGUCCAACAUGCAGGUUUGAUUUUAAGGUGACCACUCACCUCAAGGUCCAAAAGCACAAAAACUAGUGGGAGUCUUUUCAUUAAAUAAACAACAAAGGAUUCAGAGAAUCAUGCUCAAAAAAUGUUAUUAAUAGUUCGAAGCAGUCCAAGCAUUAGUUUUGAAAUUAUUAAGCCUCUUGUGUAGGUACGUCCAACGUGCAGGUUUGAUGUUCAAAGUGACCACCCAUUUCAACAACCAAAAUCUUAAAAAGUAGUGGGAAUAUUUUUAUAAAACAAACAGCAUUGGGUUCAGAUAAGCAUGCUCAAAAAUGUUAUUAGGGGUUUAAAGCAGUACAAGCAUUGGUUUAGGUAUUAUGGAGCUUUCUGGACAGGUGCGUCCAAUGUGCAGGUUUGAUCUUCAUUGUGACCACCCACUUCAAGAUCCAAAAUCUUACAAAGUAGUGGGAAUAUUUUCAUAAAACAAACAGCAUUGGGUUUAGAAAAGCAUUCUUAAAAAAGUAAUAUUCAGGUUUCGAAGUUGUGCAAGCACUCGUUCUGGUAUUAUCGCGCUUUUUGGGCAGGUGUGUCCAACAUGCAGGUUUGAUUUUAAGGCGACCACUCACUUCAAGGUCCAAAAGCACAAAAACUAGUGGGAGUUUUUUCAUUAAAUAAACAACAAAGGAUUCAGAGAAUCAUGCUCAAAAAAUGUUAUUAAUAGUUCGAAGCAGUCCAAGCAUUAGUUUUGAAAUUAUUAAGCCUCUUGUGUAGGUACGUCCAACGUGCAGGUUUGAUGUUCAAAGUGACCACCCAUUUCAACAACCAAAAUCUUAAAAAGUAGUGGGAAUAUUUUUAUAAAACAAACAGCAUUGGGUUCAGAUAAGCAUGCUCAAAAAUGUUAUUAGGGGUUUAAAGCAGUACAAGCAUUGGUUUAGGUAUUAUGGAGCUUUCUGGACAGGUGUGUCCAAUGUGCAGGUUUGAUCUUCAUUGUGACCACUCACUUUAAAGCCCAAAAUCUCAAAAAUUAGUGGGAGUAUUCUCAUAAAACGAACAACAAAGGGUCCUGGAGAUUUGGAAUUACUCGCAGUCCAAGAAGUUUUGGUGACAAAGUUAUUGGAGUGGUCCUAUUUUCAUUGCCUUUAUUAGGUUAUGUUGUCACACAAAACCCAUCAGGAUUCCCUCUGCAUUAUACUUCGUCCCUUAUUAUUUGAAAAAACUUAGGAAUAAAGGGAUUGGGUGUGAAUGGACCGAUUUCUAACUGGAUGUGCCAUCCCUUGACUUCUUCUGUGAGGAAGCAGUUCCCUAUCGAUUUGCUCAAUGUCCAAAGCGAGUUAAUUAAAGUGAAGCAAAUUGUCUUAUAUAAUAUGCAUUGGGGAGUUUAUGCCUUGACUGUAAAUAUUUUUAUAUAUUCGUGUGUAAUGCGUUUCAAGUGUACAUGUUCCGCGACCACAGAAAUUCUUCUCCCACGACUCAAGCAAUUAAAAAUGAAUGUUGUUCAAUUAGCCCCAAAACAAGCUGAACAUAAACCUAAAAAAAUAUAUAUGCAACAUUUGUUGCACUAAUAAUAUUUAAAGCUAUUAGUCGUCAACGUCUUCACUUAAGUAUACUAUCUAAAAUAGUUUCUCUUCUC